This 489-nucleotide ribosomal RNA is filed under the name Triticum aestivum (bread wheat). Its description in RNAcentral is "partial small subunit ribosomal RNA". Lineage: Eukaryota; Viridiplantae; Streptophyta; Magnoliopsida; Poales; Poaceae. The record is from RNAcentral.
AUGUCUUGUCUUAAUCCGGCAAACAACUUCUCAAAGUUUAACAUUGACAAGCUUAUACGGCUUGCUGAAAUUUAUGUUGAGGAUUUUACACAAGCUGAACGGUUUUUGCUAAGAUAUGAGCUUCCAACAUUCCUUACAAAUAUUAGGAGAAGUGAGGAAUUUAAUGCAUGUCCAGAUGUUUCUACCCUUGCUCGGUUGAUGGUUCAAACAACAAAACAUAGAACUUUCCAAUUGGUAUAUCGCCUCAUCGAGUUGACAUUAAUUCUUCCAGUGGCAACUUCAUCAGUCGAGAGGAUAUUUUCAGCAAUGAAGAUCAUCAAAACUGAUUUGCGCAAUAAGAUAUCAGAUGAUUGGCUUAAUGAUUUAAUGGUUUGCUAUUGUGAGAAAAGGAUAUUCAGAAGUAUUCCUGACGAUCAAAUUAUGAUACGAUUCCAGAAAAAGAAAGAUCGAAAAGGACAUUUGCCUCCUGAGUAUAAUGCGAUUUCUUAG